This 377-nucleotide long non-coding RNA is filed under the name Homo sapiens (human). Its description in RNAcentral is "HSALNT0116100". The record is from RNAcentral. Lineage: Eukaryota; Metazoa; Chordata; Mammalia; Primates; Hominidae.
UUUAACCAAAAUUGUGUAUCUUCUGCUAGACAUGAGUGAGAAGGGCUGUCCCAGGAGGCUGCUGCCCUUCAGCCUGGGUCUCAGAAUCAGAUGUGGAGCACACCUGAGAAAGAAGGUGCUUGUUUCCCCUUCACCUUCCACCAUGAUUCUACAUUUCCUGAGGCCUCCCCAGCACUGUGGAACUAUGAGGAAGCGGAUGCAUAGCAAGUUUAAAUAGCUUGCAGAAGGACACACAGUUUGCAAGUGAAGGAGCUCAAAUUCAAAGACUGGCAGUCUGCAUCCAGAGUUGAUCAUCUUAAAUACCAUGCUGAACCGGUUGCUCUCAAAGUCUAAACAGUAUUUUUUACAAUAAGUUUCACUUCUUGUAUUCACUUUUC